This 2246-nucleotide long non-coding RNA is filed under the name Canis lupus familiaris (dog). Its description in RNAcentral is "lncRNA (ENSCAFG00000056981.1)". The record is from RNAcentral. Lineage: Eukaryota; Metazoa; Chordata; Mammalia; Carnivora; Canidae.
AACCGCUGAGCCACCCAGGUGUCCCCUCACUUUGGUUUUUAAAACAUGGGGUUUUUAUUUUUUUUAAAAAAAAAUUAUUUACUUAUUCAUGAAAAUAUACAGAGAGGAGAGAGAGAGGCAGAGACACAGGCAGAGGGAGAAGCAGGCUCCAUCCAGGGAGCCCGACAUGGGACUUGAUCCCAUGUCUCCAGGAUCAGGCCCUGGACUGAAGGUGGCACUAAACCACUGAGCCACCAGGGCUGCCGAAAACACGGGGUUUUUAAAGGCGAAUCUUUGCCUCGUCACUGUCUGGCUUAUUGGAUAUGUCUGUUCAUUGCCUCUUCCCCUUGGAACAUUAAAGCAAAGAUUUUGUGUUUUGUGGUUGGUUGUUGCCCAAUCUACAGUACCCAGCACGGUGCCCGGACCUUAACAGUAGUCAAUAAAUACUUCUUUCACGGGCAACCGUGCACAAAAUGUUGUGCCGGUAAGGAGAGGGCUUGUAAACACUGGGUAAACACUGACAGGAAAGUACUUGGUAUGGUAGGCUGUUGAAUCUGCCAUUUUCUUUUUUUUAAAAAAACCUAUGUAUUUUAGCGUGAAAGAAAAUUUUCAGUUAAAAAUUGUGAUGGCAAGUCCUGAAGCAGGACAGGGUGCAUCUGCAGGGCACCUGUUGUUUGCAUGGCGCUCCAUCAUUUGCAAAGUGCCUUCCUGGACGUUGCCACACUGGAUCUUCACAGGGCCUGGGGAUGCGGUGGGUUAGGAUGGUAAGUCAGAGAUUCAGUUACUGCUCAGGGCCGUGCAGAACCGCUAAAGCCGAGAGUCCUGGAUUUCAGUCCCGUGUUCCUUUCCACUGUGUCCUGUUCUGGGUCCCUGGAACAAAGUUUUUGCAUGGUCCCCUGUGGAUAGGGCAGCCCCCAGGUCUCAUCUUCAUGAGAUUAGAUGUUCUGGUAUCUCUGUUUUGUGUGUUCUCUUCUGAAGGUGAGGCAGCAGAUAGAGGAAGAGAAUGUGGAUUUUUGAGGUCUGAUUUGAAGACAGGAUCUGUGGGAAUGGAGGUUGGGAUCUGCUCAGCAGAUGUUUUCAUUGUGUAAAGAGACACAGAGGGCACCUGGGUGGCUCAGUGGUUGAGCAUCCGUCUAUAGCUUAGGUCAUGAUCCUGGGUUCCUGGGAUCCAGGCCCGCCCUCUGCCUAUGUCUCUGCCUCUCUCUGUGUGUCUCUCAUAAAUAAAUAAGUAAAAUCUUAAAAAAAAAAAAAAAAAGGCAUAAGAAGGGCCCUGCUAACCCUGGAAUUGAGUGAGGGCUCCAAAGAUCUAAGCCCUAGGGGCUCCAGAAUGUGGGUUGGCUUCAGCUCCAGGGAGGACAGCCCAGGGAGGGGGUGGUGUGAGCAGUUCCUUUUAGGGCCUGGGUUUGUAAUAUAUGCUGCCUUGAGCUCUGCAGGAACCAGUGGGGAGGAAUAAAGGUGGCCUUUUUCUUCUGAUUGAAAUUCAUGUCAAUAAACACUCAAGGAUCCAUUGCCAAACAAAAGGAGAUUGGGCCUUUGUGUGUGUGGUAUCCCAUCGGGUCCUCGAUAGAGACAAGAAAAACACCUUGUCUGUCUCAGGUGAAGAAAUAGGCAGGGAGCGAUCACAUGGAUUUCUCAAGUUUAUUUCCAUGUUAGGUAGCACAUCUGUGACAAGGAGCAGGACUUGGUGCUCCAAGUCAAGUGCUCCCUGGGAGGGUUCCACCCUCACACAUUGGACAGAUCACCAAGAGUAACAGGAACAAAGAACAUCCUAUCAUGACUAUAAUGCCAUAAUAACCACAGAGGGGAGGUUUCCCAAAGAUUGUUCUCAAGGAAAGGCUGAGAGAGUGCACCCAAAGGAAGGAAAGAGAUUAAAAUGUGCUCACGUGAGGAGGUGGGGACCUUGAUGCCUACUUACGUAUUUGGUGCCGGCUUGUCUCAAUGGCCUCUCGCUUUUUAUGACUCUCUCUCGGUAUCAUUUUACCUUGGCCUCACCAGCUUCAGGCUCUGGUCCACACAGAGCUGAGAGGAGCUCUGAGUAUCGCUGGCAGCCCUGGUGAGAGUGGCUGGGGCUCCCUUACAUGAGCCUGCGGCGUUGUGUUUUGCAGAUGUCAUUCUGGGCACCAGAGACCAGCCUGGAGCAGGCCACUCAGACUGGGGACACAGAAGCAGCACCACUUCUGACUGCAGCAGCGUUGCUAAGUGCAAGACCACACAUCUGUGUGUGUGUGUGUGUGUAAUGCUGCUGGUAAAAAAAAAAAAAAAAAAAA